CGGGGGGAGCAAGCGUUGUUCGGAUUUACUGGGCGUAAAGGGCGCGUAGGCGGUCGUGACAAGUCACUUGUGAAAUCUCGGGCUUAACUCGGAACGGUCAAGUGAUACUGUCGGACUAGAGUACAGAAGGGGCAACUGGAAUUCUCGGUGUAGCGGUGAAAUGCGUAGAUAUCGAGAGGAACACCCGCGGCGAAGGCGGGUUGCUGGGCUGAUACUGACGCUGAGGCGCGAAAGCCAGGGGAGCGAACGGGAUUAGAUACCCCGGUAGUCCUGGCCUUAAACGAUGAAUGCUUGGUGUCUCGGGUUAUAAAGUCCCGGGGUGCCGUCGCUAACGCUUUUAGCAUUCCGCCUGGGGAGUACGGUCGCAAGACUG
This 373-nucleotide ribosomal RNA is filed under the name uncultured organism. RNAcentral's name for it is "bacterial SSU rRNA". It matches the Rfam family "Bacterial small subunit ribosomal RNA", at positions 526 to 896 of the family's 1533-position model. The record is from RNAcentral.